UGAGCAACCUGCCCCUGACUCUGGGAUAACUCCGGGAAACCGGGGCUAAUACCGGAUACUCCGAUCGGACGACAUCGUCUGACCGGGAAAGCUCCGACGGUCUGGGAUGGCCCGCGGCCUAUCAGCUUGUUGGCGAGGUAACGGCUCACCAAGGCGACGACGGGUAGCUGGUCUGAGAGGACGACCAGCCACACUGGAACUGAGAUACGGUCCAGACUCCUACGGGAG
RNAcentral lists this ribosomal RNA (228 nucleotides) under uncultured bacterium. Its description in RNAcentral is "partial 16S ribosomal RNA". It matches the Rfam family "Bacterial small subunit ribosomal RNA", at positions 118 to 347 of the family's 1533-position model. The record is from RNAcentral.